RNAcentral lists this ribosomal RNA (556 nucleotides) under Gastrotheca phelloderma. RNAcentral describes it as "partial small subunit ribosomal RNA". It matches the Rfam family "Bacterial small subunit ribosomal RNA", at positions 195 to 930 of the family's 1533-position model. Lineage: Eukaryota; Metazoa; Chordata; Amphibia; Anura; Hemiphractidae. The record is from RNAcentral.
GACCCUAAAAAGUCCUCUAAACACAAAGGUUCGAUCCCAGCCUUGAAAUCAGUUUUUACCCCAUAUACACAUGCAAGUUUCCGCACCCCUGUGAGAACGCCCUUAAUCUCCCUGUUAGGGACAAGGAGCCGGUAUCAGGCGCAAUAAUUAGCCCAAGACACCUAGCCAUGCCACACCCACACGGGCUUCAGCAGUGAUUAACAUUGAACAUAAGCGACAGCUUGAUUCAGUUAAGGUAGAGAGAGCCGGCAAAUCUGGUGCCAGCCGCCGCGGUUACACCACGUGGCUCAAAUUGUAUUCUUCGGCGUAAAGCGUGAUUUAAGUUAACACUAAACUAGAGCCAAACUUAAAUUAAGCUGUGAUAAGCUUGUUAUUUAGGAAGCCCAAAAACGAAAGUUGCUCUAACUUGAUCAACUUGAACUCACGAAAGCUAGGACACAAACUGGGAUUAGAUACCCCACUAUGCCUAGCCAUAAACUUUAAACUACUGCCAAAUCGCCAGGGAACUACGAGCAAAGCUUAAAACCCAAAGGACUUGACGGUACCCCACAUCCCC